UGUAGGAGUGAGCCUGCUCGCGAUGGCGGACUUUCAGUCGUUGUAGGUGUUGUCUGACACACCGCUAUCGCGAGCAGGCUCACUCCUACA
Molecule: unclassified non-coding RNA, 90 nt
Filed under: Pseudomonas helmanticensis
Lineage: Bacteria; Pseudomonadati; Pseudomonadota; Gammaproteobacteria; Pseudomonadales; Pseudomonadaceae
Source: RNAcentral